GCCCGCCCGCUCCCGGUUCUCUGGGAGACACCGUCCGGCGACCGACACCGACACCGACACCAAGCAGAAGCCCAAAAGAAACAAACCCCUCGGCACCGGAGGAUGAGAAACCCCGCGCGCCCCAUAGCCCGGGGCCGGCCCCACACCCCCAGGGCACUGCCAGGGGAAGAUCGCGGCACCGGACGCCUGGCGAAGCAGCAGCAGCACGGCUCAGGGACAGCCCCGCGCCCCGGCUCCGGCGCUGACGUUACCCGCUCCCGGCGUCUGCGGCUUCUGGACCCAGGAACCGCAGCCGGGUAUCAGCGCUGUGGGGAGAAGAGUCGGGGGCUCAGUGGGGCGGGGGUGGCGGUGACACGGGGACACGGGGACGGCGCUACCUGCGCCGGGGGGGGAUGCGCACGGACGCAUGCACGGCUCGGCUGACUGCGUGGGACGGGGCCAUCCCAAAGAGACGCAGCGUGUGCCCCGCACGGGGACGCGAGCUCGAGUGAUCCCAAAUGCACAGGUCCUGCCUGGGGACGGGGACAGGUCCUGCAUGGGAAUGGGAACAGGUCCUGCCUGGGGACGGGGACAGGUCCUGCUUGAGGACAGGUCCUGCCUGGGGACUGGGACAGGUCCUGCUCGGGGAGAGGCCCCACUUGGGGAUGGGAACAGGUCCUGCUUGGGGACAGGUCCUGCUUGGGGAUGGGAUGGGGACAGGUCCUGCUCGGGGAUGGGUCCUGCUUGGGGACGGGUCCUGCCUGGGGAUGGGGACAGGUCCCACUUGGAGGCAGGUCCUGCUCCAGGAUGGGUCCUACUUGGGGACAGGAUGGGGACAGGUCCUGUUCGGGGAUGGGUCCUGCUUGGGGACGGGGACAGGUCCUGCUUGGGGAUGGGG
Molecule: long non-coding RNA, 877 nt
Filed under: Numida meleagris (helmeted guineafowl)
Lineage: Eukaryota; Metazoa; Chordata; Aves; Galliformes; Numididae
Description: lncRNA (ENSNMEG00000001352.1)
Source: RNAcentral